This 253-nucleotide ribosomal RNA is filed under the name uncultured bacterium. RNAcentral's name for it is "partial 16S ribosomal RNA". It matches the Rfam family "Bacterial small subunit ribosomal RNA", at positions 524 to 776 of the family's 1533-position model. The record is from RNAcentral.
UACGUAGGGUGCGAGCGUUGCCCGGAUUUAUUGGGCGUAAAGAGCGCGUAGGCGGUCCGAUAAGUCGGCUGUGAAAGUCAGGGGCUCAACCCUUGAAAGCCGGCCGAUACUGUCGGACUAGAGUCCGGAAGAGGCAAGUGGAAUUCCCGGUGUAGCGGUGAAAUGCGCAGAUAUCGGGAGGAACACCAAUGGCGAAGGCAGCUUGCUGGGACGGUACUGACGCUGAGGCGCGAAAGCGUGGGGAGCGAACAGG